AUCCAGCUGAUGAGUCCCAAAUAGGACGAAACCAGCGUCCUGGAU
This 45-nucleotide non-coding RNA is filed under the name Schistosoma mansoni. Lineage: Eukaryota; Metazoa; Platyhelminthes; Trematoda; Strigeidida; Schistosomatidae. The record is from RNAcentral.